RNAcentral lists this ribosomal RNA (874 nucleotides) under Escherichia coli. RNAcentral's name for it is "partial 23S ribosomal RNA". It matches the Rfam family "Bacterial large subunit ribosomal RNA", at positions 2048 to 2916 of the family's 2925-position model. Lineage: Bacteria; Pseudomonadati; Pseudomonadota; Gammaproteobacteria; Enterobacterales; Enterobacteriaceae. The record is from RNAcentral.
UCGCUGUGAAGAUGCAGUGUACCCGCGGCAAGACGGAAAGACCCCGUGAACCUUUACUAUAGCUUGACACUGAACAUUGAGCCUUGAUGUGUAGGAUAGGUGGGAGGCUUAGAAGUGUGGACGCCAGUCUGCAUGGAGCCGACCUUGAAAUACCACCCUUUAAUGUUUGAUGUUCUAACGUUGACCCGUGAUCCGGGUUGCGGACAGUGUCUGGUGGGUAGUUUGACUGGGGCGGUCUCCUCCUAAAGAGUAACGGAGGAGCACGAAGGUUGGCUAAUCCUGGUCGGACAUCAGGAGGUUAGUGCAAUGGCAUAAGCCAGCUUGACUGCGAGCGUGACGGCGCGAGCAGGUGCGAAAGCAGGUCAUAGUGAUCCGGUGGUUCUGAAUGGAAGGGCCAUCGCUCAACGGAUAAAAGGUACUCCGGGGAUAACAGGCUGAUACCGCCCAAGAGUUCAUAUCGACGGCGGUGUUUGGCACCUCGAUGUCGGCUCAUCACAUCCUGGGGCUGAAGUAGGUCCCAAGGGUAUGGCUGUUCGCCAUUUAAAGUGGUACGCGAGCUGGGUUUAGAACGUCGUGAGACAGUUCGGUCCCUAUCUGCCGUGGGCGCUGGAGAACUGAGGGGGGCUGCUCCUAGUACGAGAGGACCGGAGUGGACGCAUCACUGGUGUUCGGGUUGUCAUGCCAAUGGCACUGCCCGGUAGCUAAAUGCGGAAGAGAUAAGUGCUGAAAGCAUCUAAGCACGAAACUUGCCCCGAGAUGAGUUCUCCCUGACCCUUUAAGGGUCCUGAAGGAACGUUGAAGACGACGACGUUGAUAGGCCGGGUGUGUAAGCGCAGCGAUGCGUUGAGCUAACCGGUACUAAUGAACCGUGAGG